ACCACACUAUGUGCUUCUACACACCCAGGCUGAACACCCCAUGGGAGGCCCUCCACUUUAGCACCUUGACAAGAAGGGUGGGGACACUGGGAUCAGGCCCAGCCCCCUGGCCCCAAACCCUGCAGCCCCAGCUGGAGGAUGAGGAGAUGCUGGGCUUGGGUGGGGGAAUCAGGGGUGUAAAGGGGCCUGCUCACUCCUCAGCUUGGCUCAAGGCUCAAGGCAUCAAAGGCUCAGCCUGCCCCUCAGGAAGGAGCCUGGGCCCAGCCAGACACUCACCAGGACAAGGGUGAAUGUGACGAGCAGGAGGCCUAGAAUGAGGAGAGCCACAGCAUAGCCGGGGAUGGAGGCAUCCAGCAGGCUGGAGGCUUCGAGGCUAGGACUGCCUAGAGCAGACCAAGAAGGCUAUGGCCAGGUGGGGCCCUGCCUCCCAGACUUCUGAGAAGGCAGAAUCUGGCAACAGAAGUUGCUGCAGGACCAGAGAGCUGGGGCUAGGAGCAUCUUGGAGGGCUCCAUGAGGAGGGGAGGCAGGUUUCAGAUCAGGGCAUGUGGAGGCAGCGAGUCCAAGGGAGGCGGCAGAUGGACAGAGGGAGGGGGCCUGCAGAGGGAAGGAGGUACUGACCGAGGUCUGAGAUGACCGUGUCUACCAAGAGGCCCUCUGCCUCCCCCAGGGUGUGCAGACCCUGGUACACACAGUCCCACACGAGAGCCUGGGCUGGUGCCGCCCUGAAGGUGGCACCCACUCUGACGGUCAGUGGGUCCAGCCUGGCGGGAGGAUCAUCCCACUUCAGGGGGCUGGGCAGCCUGGGGGGCCUAAGGGAGGUCAUCUCUUCCAGCCUCCUGCCCUCAACCCCAGAACCCAGGUCUGAGCCCUGGGUCACCCAGGGCCACCCUGGACCCACCGGAAUUCCUCCACCACCACUUGGUCAAAGUUCUGCAGAGAUCUGAGGACGAGGGUCAGCUGGGGGGUCAGGAGAGGAUGAAGAGGGUCGCAGCUCUACCAAAGUCUUGUCCAGUCAUCCCCCAUCUUCCCGAGGCUUCUUCCCCGCCCCCCCACUUCAUCCCGCCACUUCACCCAUCUUGUCGGUUGCCCCUGAAGUGCCCAGAACUCAAGGCUGGUUUUGUCCUCCAAGGCUUUGGUGUAGGGCUGGCCCAGGAUCUGCAGCCAAACUUCAUAUAGCACCAGCUCUGCCUUCUCCCCUAGAGCGACAGGGGUGGAGGUGGCAUCAGCCUGCAUCCCCUCUCCUGGAAGCCCUGGAGUGGGACACACACCCAAGCUCUAAUGCUCCAUCCAGGGGUCAGCUGCUGUUGGUGUAAAGGCCAAAUUUCUUGCUGCCUGCUUUUGUGUGGCCCACGCGCUAAGAAUGGCUUUUACAUGUUUAAAUGGUUGAAAACAUGGAAAGUAGAGUCGUAUCUUGUGACACAUGAGAAUUACGUGAGAUGCAAACUUCCAUGUCCAUAAAGAAAGGUUUCUGGCAAUGUGGCCACGCUCAUCUGUUGACAUGUUGCCUAGGGCUGCUUUCUUGCUACAGGGGAGGGUUUGAGUAGGUGGUGACAGAGACCCAGUGGCCUGCAGAGCCUUAAAGAGUUCCCAUCGGGCCCUUUACAGAAAAUGCUUGCUAACCCCUGCACUGAUCCAUCUAAUGGAAUACACUGCCCACUCCGUGAGUUGAUCCUAGUAGGAAAUGUUACUGAUAAUUUAACAGCUGCUGCUUUUAUGUUUUAUUUUGUCCCUGCUCUGGUGGGAGACAUGUAAGAAAAUUCACUCCCUGGGAGGAGGUCAUGGUGGGGCUUGUGGCCAUCAACGGUGAAGCCUCUUUAAGAGAAUGCGUGGGGAGCUCUACCAUCUGCUGAGAGGGUUGUGAGGGGCCCUCUGUGUUGAGGAAUGAAGAGGGAACGCUGCCUGUCUGCUGGGAGCUGGCUUUCUGGGGAGCAGAAGAGAUGGUGGUUCAGGCCUGCGGAGGCAGAGGCCCAAACCAAUCUGGUCUCUGGGGCUGCCGGCCGGGAGAGUAGUUGUGUAGGAGUGGGUGUAGGAGCAGAGCCUGAAGGAGGGCACCCCUGACUGCAGCCACAGGAGGCUGUGGUGGUGGGGGUGGGGCAGCACUGUAGGAGGACCAGCGCCUUCUGUGGCUGAGGGGUCCUUGGAGAGCAGCUCCAGGCAAUGCGUAGCUGGAGGGGACUGAUUUGACCCAGCGCUCUCCUAAGCCACAAUGCCCGGCCUAAUGUACUGUUUAUUUAAAAUUCUAAGGAUCUUUAAUAAUUUUAAUGAGGAUCUUUAAAUAAUUUUCCAUGGAUCAUAUUUUUAUUGCAUUUUAAAAUAAUUUACAAUUUGCUUUCACACAUAUUUUCCCUCAUCUGAUCCUCACAACUGCCCUGGGAAGGAGGUUGGAGACAGAGUUGGGGCCUGUUAGGAGACAAAUUUACACAAUGCAUAAGAAAGCUCACUGUGAGCCGGGGUGAGGAAGGGAGGCUUGGAGAAUCAUGAAUGCAGUAUCUAUGUCUAUAUUCCCAGCCCAACCACAAAGCCUGAAAUUCAUUAGGUAUUUAAGAAAUAGCUGCUGAAUUAUUGCCUAGGGGUGCUCAGCUCAAGAAGCAGGGUUGGGACUAACAAUCAAGCUUCCUGACUCCUAGCCCAACACUUUUCCAAACACACCACCUAUUUUUCUGUAUCGGAUAGAAAGUAUAGUGCUUAAGUUGUACAUAAUGUUAACUCACUUUCAAUACAGGCCAAUCAUGAUUGACUAUCAGUAGCUUUUGUGACAAACUUAGUAAACUAGGAAGUUGAACCUUUCAGAGUUCCCCUUCUCAUGUCAUAUGCUAUUUGUUUUGAAAUAAAAAUCCUUCCAAAUGAAACUUUAUCCAUCAAAAUGACAAGAGAAGUGAAAAUAGAUACAAGAAGAAAGUAAAACAUUAAUUUCAA
RNAcentral lists this long non-coding RNA (2917 nucleotides) under Pan troglodytes (chimpanzee). RNAcentral's name for it is "lincRNA". Lineage: Eukaryota; Metazoa; Chordata; Mammalia; Primates; Hominidae. The record is from RNAcentral.